Long non-coding RNA from Helianthus annuus (common sunflower), 1189 nucleotides. RefSeq lists it as uncharacterized. The record is from RefSeq and is a predicted model, not a curated record. The transcript is spliced from 2 exons. NCBI's taxonomy places the organism in Eukaryota, Viridiplantae, Streptophyta, Magnoliopsida, Asterales, Asteraceae.
UCUUAAAAUAGACUCUAAUUCACUCAAAAAUAUUCAGCUUUGAGCAGAAAGUUUAAGGGAUUCAAAGUGAGUUCUAACUCACUUCAUCAUCUAUUUUCUUCUUGUUUCUUUCUUCUUAACACUUGGAUAACCUCUAGGAAGGUUUUCACAAGUUUGCUUGGGCAAACUAAGGUGAAACCUCACCAUUUUUGAGGUCCAAAGUGCACAUAAAAUUCUGCUCGUUUUUAUUUAUUUUUAUGAUCACGUUUUGAUAGAAAACUUAGUGGAAUCUUGUUCCCACCAAGCUCACAACUUAGUCCAUGGUUGUGGGUUUGUGUUUAGGGGAUUUCCAUCAAAGUUUUGGGUUCAAACACCCAUUUAAUUUCUGUUUAAACUUGAUAAUCGAAUGAUGAAAACAAGCACAAGUCAUCAUUUUCUAUAUGAUGAACUUGUGACUUGUGAAGUGUGAACAAAUGGAGGCUUUGGCCUUCCAAACUAAGUUCCACUCCUUCAUUUGAACACUUUUAUGACUUGAUUAGAUUAGAUUUACUUUCUUGUUGUUCAUGACCCUCCCACCAUCUUCAUGACGGUGUGUGUAGUGGUGAAUCAUAUAAUGAGGUUUCAACCUCCAUGCUUGACAAUACAUGAUACUACAUGACAUUCUUUGAUUGGACAUAGUUUAGGUCAUAUUAUUACCUUAUAAAUAUACAUAUAAUUAUACAAUACAUGGCUGAAUUUGUGAUGGUAAUCAAGUUGUGAUUAUUCGUCAUAAACCUAGGCUAACAUAUCUAAGAUUCUAAGUUAUUUGUUAUGAUUCCAAUGGGCAAUUUGGGACCCAUGAAACCACUUAAUAUGGUGUCAUAAACGAGCUCUUAGAACUAGAUAAUAUUUUCAUAUACAUACUUUUGAUACUUUAAUUUCUAAAUCCCGAAUCUCACCACUUCCUAAAUAUCAAGAAACCUUGCCAAUAAAUCCUUAUUCUCUAACAACUCGCCACUCAUGGAUAAUCGGAAAGCAUAUGCAAUUUUGUUGAGGAUGAUGAUGCUAUGAAAAGAAGUAGCGUUGAUGCCUAGAUACGCAUAUAGACGUUUAGGUUUAAUAUGUUGUAUCAAUUUUGAUUAUGUUGUUAUGUAUUUCCUAUGAACUUGUUGUUAUUCGUAUUUCUUGUAUUGUUGACAAUUUACUUAUGAAAUGAAAUCGGUUUAUUAAA